This 254-nucleotide unclassified non-coding RNA is filed under the name Hevea brasiliensis (rubber tree). The record is from RNAcentral. Lineage: Eukaryota; Viridiplantae; Streptophyta; Magnoliopsida; Malpighiales; Euphorbiaceae.
ACUCAAGAGCACCAUUCACCACCCUGAACCAGCAAAGAGGAAGAGAACACUACAAUGAGCCUCAUUCUCGGACAAAGUAAGGCAGAACAAUAAAAAAAGGCAUGCCAGAAAGCUAAUCUUGAAUUCAUGAUCACUUGCCCAAAAAUAUAGAACCAAAUUGACAAGAACACAAAAAUACUGGAAUUGACAAGUGCAGAACAAAGCAAAGAAAGGUACUAAUCCCAAUUUAGACUUAAGACAUACGCAAGAUGAUA